This 497-nucleotide ribosomal RNA is filed under the name uncultured bacterium. Its description in RNAcentral is "partial 16S ribosomal RNA". It matches the Rfam family "Bacterial small subunit ribosomal RNA", at positions 28 to 507 of the family's 1533-position model. The record is from RNAcentral.
GAUGAACGCUGGCGGCGUGCCUAAUACAUGCAAGUCGAGCGAACAGACGAGAAGCUUGCUUCUCUGAUGUUAUCGGCGGACGGGUGAGUAACACGUGGAUAACCUACCUAUAAGACUGGGAUAACUUCGUGAAACCGGAGCUAAUACCGGAUAAUAUUUUGAACCGCAUGGUUCAAUAGUGAAAGACGGUUUUGCUGUCACUUAUAGAUGGAUCCGCGCUGCAUUAGCUAGUUGGUAAGGUAACGGCUUACCAAGGCAACGAUGCGUAGCCGACCUGAGAGGGUGAUAGGCCACAAUGGAACUGAGACACGGUCCAGACUCCUACGGGAGGCAGCAGUAGGGAAUCUUCCGCAAUGGGCGAAAGCCUGACGGAGCAACGCAGCGUGAGUGAUGAAGGUCUUCGGAUCGUAAAACUCUGUUAUUAGGGAAGAACAAAUGUGUAAGUAACUAUGCACAUCUUGACGGUACAUAAUCAGAAAGCCACGGCUAACUACGUG